CCUACGGGAGGCAGCAGUGGGGAAUAUUGCACAAUGGGGGGAACCCUGAUGCAGCGACGCCGCGUGAGCGAAGAAGGUUUUCGAAUCGUAAAGCUCUGUCCUAUGAGAAGAUAAUGACGGUAUCAUAGGAGGAAGCCCCGGCUAAAUACGUGCCAGCAGCCGCGGUAAUACGUAUGGGGCGAGCGUUGUCCGGAAUUAUUGGGCGUAAAGGGUACGUAGGCGGUUUUUUAAGUCAGGUGUGAAAGCGUGAGGCUUAACCUCAUUAAGCACUUGAAACUGGAAGACUUGAGUGAAGGAGAGGAAAGUGGAAUUCCUAGUGUAGCGGUGAAAUGCGUAGAUAUUAGGAGGAAUACCGGUGGCGAAGGCGACUUUCUGGACUUUUACUGACGCUCAGGUACGAAAGCGUGGGGAGCAAACAGGAUUA
This 424-nucleotide ribosomal RNA is filed under the name uncultured Anaerotignum sp. Its description in RNAcentral is "bacterial SSU rRNA". It matches the Rfam family "Bacterial small subunit ribosomal RNA", at positions 338 to 780 of the family's 1533-position model. Lineage: Bacteria; Bacillati; Bacillota; Clostridia; Lachnospirales; Anaerotignaceae. The record is from RNAcentral.